UAAAACAAACCAAAUAACCAAUGCCAUAAUCACUUUGAAUCUAUAGUUAUGUUUUUCCCCCUUUUUUUACAGGGACACUAGCCUUCUGCAGAUUGGAGAAGGUGUUGACUAACAAGAGGGUUCUAAAAGAUGUGGGGAAGCUGAGCCCUCAUUACCAAACCUCGUCGUUGGAGUCUUUCCACAGCGUCAUUCUGCGUUUUGCGCCCAAAAACGUAGUCUUUCCUUUUCUUGGAAUGUUAUGCAGACUCUACCUGGCAGCCUUGCAUUUCAAUGAAAAUGCUGGGCGUCCCCAAGCAACAAGUUCAGCUGGUGAGCCACUAUUUAAAGUGAACUUCCAAAAAUAUAAGAAGGGCGAGUGCACUGCAAAGCCGGUGAAAGCAGAAACCUUCCGUGAGUGUCACAGGCUUUAUUUAAAAUUCCACAAAGUCAAACUAUGUACAAACAGUAUGUGAAACAUAAAUAACAUAUACAUUAACUGCUGUCUUUAAAUGGUCUUCAUAAUAAAUAGAAUAAUAUAAUUACAAAA
This is a long non-coding RNA of Clupea harengus (Atlantic herring), 526 nucleotides long. RefSeq lists it as uncharacterized. The record is from RefSeq and is a predicted model, not a curated record. The transcript is spliced from 2 exons. Lineage: Eukaryota; Metazoa; Chordata; Actinopteri; Clupeiformes; Clupeidae.